GGAUCGCCCUUCCUACGGGAGGCAGCAGUGAGGAAUAUUGGACAAUGGGCGCAAGCCUGAUCCAGCCAUGCCGCGUGCAGGAUGACGGUCCUAUGGAUUGUAAACUGCUUUUGUACAGGAAGAAACCCUUUCACGUGUGGAAGAUUGACGGUACUGUAAGAAUAAGGAUCGGCUAACUCCGUGCCAGCAGCCGCGGUAAUAAGGGCGAUCCC
This 212-nucleotide ribosomal RNA is filed under the name uncultured bacterium. RNAcentral's name for it is "partial 16S ribosomal RNA". It matches the Rfam family "Bacterial small subunit ribosomal RNA", at positions 327 to 535 of the family's 1533-position model. The record is from RNAcentral.